Long non-coding RNA from Bactrocera dorsalis (oriental fruit fly), 985 nucleotides. RefSeq lists it as uncharacterized. The transcript is spliced from 2 exons. The record is from RefSeq and is a predicted model, not a curated record. NCBI's taxonomy places the organism in Eukaryota, Metazoa, Arthropoda, Insecta, Diptera, Tephritidae.
CUCACGUAGUGCUUGUCGAAAGUGUUCUGACAACUUUGCAUAAGGUUUGCAAAUAAACAAUGCGGUUAAGGGACAAAUUGAAAACCAGUUACUUGGUAUUACACACACACAUACACAUAUAUGGUGCAUAUGUAGGCCAAAUAGAUUGAUCGACGCUUCAAUGUCAUCCGUCUGGGUAGGCCAUCAUGUACCGAAUAAAGCAAAAAAAAAAUUUAAUUGAAAAAAUUGCACAUGCAUUAUACUCGUAUAUCACUACUAAUGGGUUUGCUGCCUGAUAAGGCUGACUCAUUGAUGAGUGCCUAUGCCGGCGCUGAUGAUUGCAUGCUAGGUUUGAGGACCGCGUGGGCAAAGUUAUCAAUGUGUGAAAAAGUGAUCAACAAAAUUUCCAUACGAAAAUAUUAUCAUAUUAAUGACUGGCCAAAUCGAUAUCGGAAAACGAAGAUAUCAGAUAGACAACGCAAUUAAUAUUUAUAUAUAUGUACAAUACAAUAAAAGCUAGACGGUUUAUGUAUAAAUGUAGGUUUAUCUAAUUAUCGACAUUCAAUCAAUGAGAAAUUACAACAAAAAGAAUUUUUUUUUUGAAAAUAUCUAAAAAGUGCGCCCAAACACUUAGGAUAUACCACAUAUGUACAUAUGUAUGUAUGUAUAUGAUAUAUAAUUUUCUACCGUGAAAUCGAUAUACAUAUGUACAUAUUUCCAUAUUUGUACACAAAAUUUCCCGUUUGAUAAUCAUACGUACACAUGUAUGUAAUUACGUAAAUUUAUUUAAAAAACAAUUAAUUUGAUUGGAAAUUAUUUAAUACAGAUAAAUGUCAUUAUCAGCCAGUUCGCCAUCAAUCAUCAGAGCCACGCGCUAUGGUGCUCCAAAUCAUGCAUAUUCAUAUAAAAAUAUAUUUAUACAUACCUACUUAAGUGUGCUGCCUGUAAUUAUAAAUUUUUGACGUCAGCUACUGUAUUUGGAAAUACAUAUGAACACAACACUACA